Molossus molossus (Pallas's mastiff bat) is the source of this 414-nucleotide long non-coding RNA. RefSeq lists it as uncharacterized. The transcript is spliced from 4 exons. The record is from RefSeq and is a predicted model, not a curated record. Lineage: Eukaryota; Metazoa; Chordata; Mammalia; Chiroptera; Molossidae.
UUCAUGGGAGGAUUUUUCAUGGGAAAUGUCAAGAUAAAGAUAAAGGGAAAAGGAAGAAAAACAAACAAACCAGAGUUAGGUGACUAUCCGGAUCGAGGACUAUCAUUCUACUUGGGGUUAGAAGCAAAUGAAAGAAGAAGGAUUUGCUCUUGACAGGAUCUUGUUCUUCAGACUAAGCCCCCAGAUCUGGAGCACUAGAAAAACAAUUUCACCCUGGACACUGUCAGUGGGAAACGUAACUUACAAAUUAACAAGAAAAGAGUUGCAGUGCUGCUCCUUCCUCUGUGAUGCCCCUGCUAAGAGGGUUUCACAGGACUGCUGAAACCUCCAGAAUUUCAUGUUUCCCUCAGCAGUCUACAAUAACCCUUAGUCUGAAUGACAUGUAUUAUUUCCUCAGCAAACAUGUGAUGUGGG